RNAcentral lists this transfer RNA (77 nucleotides) under Urocitellus parryii (Arctic ground squirrel). RNAcentral describes it as "Spermophilus parryii (Arctic ground squirrel) tRNA". It matches the Rfam family "tRNA". From Rfam's summary of the family: Transfer RNA (tRNA) molecules are approximately 80 nucleotides in length. Their secondary structure includes four short double-helical elements and three loops (D, anti-codon, and T loops). Lineage: Eukaryota; Metazoa; Chordata; Mammalia; Rodentia; Sciuridae. RNAcentral also lists the same sequence under 1 other name. The record is from Rfam by way of RNAcentral.
GGGAAUAUAGCUCAAUUGGUAGAGUGCUUGCCUUGCGUGCAUAAAACCCUGCCUGGGUUCAAUCCCCAGCAACACCA